UUGGUGUUUGUGGUUCCUUGUUGGUUUCUCACAGACUCAACUCUCCAUUCGUUCCACCUAUGGCUGACACUGCCAGUCGGCAAGAAGCCCUUGCGGCAAAGAGACAAAAACAAAAAGAAAGGGAAGAGAAAUGGGUGGAG
This 140-nucleotide non-coding RNA is filed under the name Paramoeba aestuarina. The record is from RNAcentral. Lineage: Eukaryota; Discosea; Flabellinia; Dactylopodida; Paramoebidae.